GGCACUGGGCAGCACUGGUUGCCGCAGGGCAGCCCCCCCCCCAGCAGCCGCCCCCGCCGCAGCGUGUCUGGUCGGUGACUCACGGCCGGGCCGGGGGCCACACGUGUGCCGAGCGCGGGGCUCAGCACGGCCACGUGGCCCAACCCGGUCACCGUGGGGCCCGGGGAGCCUGCGGGAUCCUGCCGGGGCCUGGCGCGGUGCUGGGCCGGUAGGAACGGGGCACGCGGUGCCGUGAGGCCUGUCCGAAGUGGCUCUGGGUGACGGGGACAGCCCGGUGCCACACGCUCGGUGGCCUUGGCGUGGCCGUGCCGUGCCCGUGCGGUGCCGGUGCUGGGUCCCGUGCCGGUGCCGCGCUGGUUCCUGCACAGAGCUGGUGCCGAGGCAGUGCCAGGGCCAACCGGUGCUGGUGCUGCACGGUGCCAACACCGGUGCCGAGGCAGCACGGCUCCUGCGUGGUGCCAGUGCCAUGCCGUGCCAACGGUGUGAGUGCCGGCUGUGGGGCCAGGAGGUGCCAAUACGGUGCCGGUGCCGGUGCCGUGCGGAGCCAAAGCAGUGCCGUGCCCACGCAGUGCCAGUGCCGGUGCCACACAGUGCCAGUGCCGUGCCAAUGCGGUGCCAACUCCGUGCUGGUGCUGUGUGGUGCCGGUGUGGUGCCGUGCCGUCCCAGCGCGGUGCCGGUGCCGUUCCCGUGCCAAGGUGAUGCCAACACGGUGCCGGUGCCGUGCCAACGCAGUGCCAACUCAGUGCCAACGAGGUGCUGUUGCCAUUCCCGUGCCAUGCUGUGCCGUGCCAACGCGGUGCCGGUGCCAUUCCCGUGCCAAGGUGAUGCCAACGCGGUGCCGGUGCCGGUGCCAUCCCCGUGCCAACGCGGUGCCAACGCGGUGCCGGUGCCGUUCCCGCCCCCCCCCCCAACCCUCCCCAAAUCCCCUCCCGGUGCCGCCCCCAGCCCGCCCCCGCCCCUCCCCUGCCCUCCCCCGGUGCUCGGCGGGGCCGUGCCGGUGCUCGGCGGCGGCGGCGGCGGCGAUGGCGCUGUCGGGGCCGCCCCGUUCCUGCCUCCUGCUGGCGGCCGCGCUGCUGCUGCCGCUGCCCGGGGCCGCCCCGGACCCCGCCGCGCCCGCGCUCACCGACGCCGAGAUCGAGGCGUUCCUCAGGGGCUUCCUCGGGCCCGACGGGGACCGCGACGGCGACGGCGACGGGGACGGGGACGGGGAUGGCACCGAGCCGGGCUUCGCCACCGAGCAGGGCACCGGCACCGGGCUGAGCACCGACCCUCCGGGGCGGCUGCCGGAGCCCGAGGCACCCAAGAAGGGCCGGAAGGAAAAAGCCCCAAAACCCACCAAAAAGCCCAAGGACAAGCCCCCCAAGAAGCCCAAGGAGAAGCCACCCAAGGAGAAGCCACCCAAGGCCACCAAGAAGCCCUCGGGCACGAGGCCCCCGGAGCCACCGGACACCCCCUGGGAGCCCCCCGUGGCCCCGCACCCCCCGCGGGGCGAGGACAGAGAGGGGACGUCCCUGUCCCCAGGGCAGCCGCGGGUCCCUGAGGAGGAGGAGGAGGAUGGCAGAGACCGAGGCGGGCUGGAGGAGCUGCCGACGGAGCGCUGGGAGCUGGGGGGGGAGGACUGGCACCCCCCUCCCGAGGCUGAGGUCCCCGCGGAGCCGGAGCCGCCGACGCUGGACUACAACGAGCAGCUGGAGCGGGAGGACUACGAGGACUUCGAGUACAUUCGGCGGCAGCAGAAACCCCGCAAGCCCCCCAGCAGGAAGAAACCCGAGCGAGUCUGGCCCCAGCCGGAGACGCCACCACGUCAG
Molecule: long non-coding RNA, 1809 nt
Filed under: Anas platyrhynchos platyrhynchos (common mallard)
Lineage: Eukaryota; Metazoa; Chordata; Aves; Anseriformes; Anatidae
Description: lncRNA (ENSAPLG00000024324.1)
Source: RNAcentral